This 456-nucleotide ribosomal RNA is filed under the name Salmonella enterica subsp. enterica serovar Infantis. RNAcentral describes it as "partial 23S ribosomal RNA". It matches the Rfam family "Bacterial large subunit ribosomal RNA", at positions 1292 to 1748 of the family's 2925-position model. The record is from RNAcentral. Lineage: Bacteria; Pseudomonadati; Pseudomonadota; Gammaproteobacteria; Enterobacterales; Enterobacteriaceae.
GAAUGCUGACAUAAGUAACGAUAAAGCGGGUGAAAAGCCCGCUCGCCGGAAGACCAAGGGUUCCUGUCCAACGUUAAUCGGGGCAGGGUGAGUCGACCCCUAAGGCGAGGCCGAAAGGCGUAGUCGAUGGGAAACGGGUUAAUAUUCCCGUACUUGGUGUUACUGCGAAGGGGGGACGGAGAAGGCUAUGUUGGCCGGGCGACGGUUGUCCCGGUUUAAGCGUGUAGGUGUGUGUUCCAGGUAAAUCCGGUUCACUUUAACACUGAGGCGUGAUGACGAGGCACUACGGUGCUGAAGCAACAAAUGCCCUGCUUCCAGGAAAAGCCUCUAAGCAUCAGGUAACAUCAAAUCGUACCCCAAACCGACACAGGUGGUCAGGUAGAGAAUACCAAGGCGCUUGAGAGAACUCGGGUGAAGGAACUAGGCAAAAUGGUGCCGUAACUUCGGGAGAAGGCA